AGAGCGUAGGGAGAAUGCCUAGGUACCAAGAGCCGAAGAAGGACGUGAUAAGCUGCGAAAAGCCACGGGGAGGAGCAAAUAUCCAUCGAGCCGUGGGUGUCCGAAUGAGGGAACUCAUACAGUAAAAAAAGACUGUAUAUCCAUACAUGAGUAAAGUAGUGUAUAGGAAGGGAACGUGGGGAACUGAAACAUCUUAGUACCCAUAGGAAAAGAAAGUAACAACGAUUCCUGAAGUAGUGGCGAGCGAAACAGGAAGAGCCCAAACCAUGGAUAGUAAUAUUUGUGGGGUUCGGAUUAUCAAUAAAGCCAAGAAUGAUGUUAGUAGAAUUACCAGGGAAGGUAAACCAAAGAAGGUGAAAGUCCUGUAUAUGAAAACAGAGUGAAGGCGAGAUAAAUCCAGAGUAGUGCGAGACACGAGAAAUCUCGUAUGAAAGAGCGGAGACCAUUCCGUAAGGCUAAAUACUACUUGGUAACCGAUAGAGAACAAGUACCGUGAGGGAACGGUGAAAAGGACCCCGGGAGGGGAGUGAAAGAGAACCUGAAACCCUAUGUUUACAAGCAGAUAGAGCGAUUUAAGGCGCGAUAUCGUACUUUUUGUAGAACGGUCCAGCGAGUUAUUGUAUAUGGCGAGGUUAAGUUCUGAAUAAGGAAUGGAGCCGAAGAGAAAUCGAGUCUGAAGAGGGCGAUAUAAGUCAUAUAUAAUAGACCCGAAACCGGGUGACCUAUCCAUGGUCAGGAUGAAGCUGAAGUAAAAUUCAGUGGAGGUCCGAACUGAUUGUCGUUAAAAAGGCACCGGAUGAACUGUGGAUAGCGGAGAAAUUCCAAUCGAACUCGGAGAUAGCUGGUUCUCCUCGAAAUAGCUUUAGGGCUAGCCUUGAGGUCAAAGAAUUAUGGGGGUAGAGCACUGAAUGAGGUAGGGGCCAAACCAGGUUACCAAACUCUAUCAAACUACGAAUACCAUAAUUAGAAUACUCAGGAGUCAGACUGCGGGAGCUAAGUUCCGUGGUCAAAAGGGAAAGAGCCCAGACCGACAAUUAAGGUCCCAAAGAUAUAGUUAAGUGGAAAACGAUGUGAAUUUGCAUAAACAACCAGGAUGUUGGCUCAGAAGCAGCCACUCAUUCAAAGAGUGCGUAACAGCUCACUGGUCGAGUGAAUUUGCGCGGAAAAUUACCGGGGCUAAACUAUACACCGAAAUUUCGGAUUUAGGAACUAUGUUCCUAAGUGGUAGAGGAGCAUUCUGUAGUAGGAAGAAGUCAAAGCGAGAGCAUUGGUGGACGAAGCAGAAGAGAGAAUGCUGGAAUAAGUAGCGAGAGCAAGGUGAGAAUCCUUGCCGUCGAAAGUCUAAGGUUUCCUGGGGAAGGUUCGUCCGCCCAGGGUAAGUCGGGGCCUAAGGAGAGGCCGAAAGGCGUAUCUGAUGGAUAGCAGGUGGAGAUUCCUGCACUAUAGCUAGUUUUAAAAGAUGCAAGGGACGCAGUAGAGGAAGAUAACCAAGGAAGAGGAAAAACUUGGUCCGCAAGGGAUAGUGAAAAUUAAUAGUAACGAAAUAUCAAGAAUCACACUGACGAGAAAAGCUUGUAGAUAUUAACUAGAAAUACCCGUACCGCAAACCGACACAGGUAGAUGAGGAGAGGAUCCUAAGACGAGCGGGAGAAGCAUUGUUAAGGAACUCGGCAAAAUAACCCCGUAACUUCGGGAGAAGGGGAGCCUAAGUAAAAUUAGGUCGCAGAGAAAAGGCCCAAGCAACUGUUUAACAAAAACACAGGUUUCUGCAAAAUCGAAAGAUGAAGUAUAGGAGCUGACGCCUGCCCAGUGCUGGAAGGUUAAGGGAAAGAGUUAGAGUAAUCGAAGCUUAGAACUGAAGCCCCAGUGAACGGCGGCCGUAACUAUAACGGUCCUAAGGUAGCGAAAUUCCUUGUCAGGUAAGUUCUGACCCGCACGAAAGGCGUAAUGAUUUGGGCACUGUCUCGACAAUGUACCCGGCGAAAUUGUAGUACUAGUGAAGAUGCUAGUUACCUGCGACAAGACAGAAAGACCCCAUGGAGCUUUACUGCAGUUUGAUACUGGGUUUCGGCAAGUUAUGUACAGGAUAGGUGGGAGACUAAGAAAGAAAGGCGUCAGCUUUUCCGGAGUCACCCUUGGGAUACCACCCUUAAUUUGUUGGAAUUCUAACUAGUGGUCAUGAUCUGGCCAGAGGACAAUGUCAGACGGGCAGUUUGACUGGGGCGGUCGCCUCCAAAAGAGUAACGGAGGCGCCCAAAGGUUCCCUCAGUGCGGACAGAAAUCGCACGAAAGAGUGUAAAGGCAGAAGGGAGCUUAACUGGAAGAUAGACAUAUCGAGCAGAUACGAAAGUAGGGCUUAGUGAUCCGGUGGAAAUUGAAUGGAAAAGCCAUCGCUCAACGGACAAAAGUUACCCUGGGGAUAACAGGCUUAUCUCCCCCAAGAGUUCACAUCGACGGGGAGGUUUGGCACCUCGAUGUCGGCUCAUCGCAUCCUGGAGCGGAAGUACGUUCCAAGGGUUGGGCUGUUCGCCCAUUAAAGCGGUACGCGAGCUGGGUUCAGAACGUCGUGAGACAGUUCGGUCCUUAUCUGUCGCAGGCGGAAGAUAUUUGAGAGGAGCUGUCCUUAGUACGAGAGGACCAGGAUGGACAUACCGAUGGUGUAUCAGUUGUCACACCAGUGGCACGGCUGAGUAGCCAAGUAUGGAAGGGAUAAACGCUGAAAGCAUCUAAGUGUGAAGCCCACCUCAAGAUAAGAUAUCUCAUAUCGU
RNAcentral lists this ribosomal RNA (2768 nucleotides) under human gut metagenome. RNAcentral's name for it is "bacterial LSU rRNA". It matches the Rfam family "Bacterial large subunit ribosomal RNA". The record is from RNAcentral.